CCCCUUUUGAUUUUAGGCAAAGUUACCGCAUAUGUGAGAGGAUGGAUUUAUUUUAUAGAACAAAAUGAUACCUAAUAAAAAAAAUAACCUCUCCAUUGGACGCUUCGAUGAUUAUCAUCGCCGAUUUUACUACUCAUGCGUUCAUGCUGAAUUAUUUUACUACUACAAUGCACUGGUUUCUCUAGGGCCAAAAUCCUUGGAAAGAGUCAAUGAUUUUAUUAGUAAUAAAAAGUACCCUGUCUUG
RNAcentral lists this long non-coding RNA (244 nucleotides) under Sorghum bicolor (sorghum). RNAcentral describes it as "long non-coding RNA (SBIC_LNC014696)". The record is from RNAcentral. Lineage: Eukaryota; Viridiplantae; Streptophyta; Magnoliopsida; Poales; Poaceae.